Molecule: long non-coding RNA, 931 nt
Filed under: Gallus gallus (chicken)
Lineage: Eukaryota; Metazoa; Chordata; Aves; Galliformes; Phasianidae
Description: lncRNA (ENSGALG00010002966.1)
Source: RNAcentral
GCCUCGGCGCGGAGCGGCCGGGCCUCGGGGGCUGCUCCUGCUCGAUGGGCGCGGGGCCGCGGAGCGGAUCGGGGCCGUACGUCGGCGCCCAUCUCCCACUCGGCUGAUACUCGGCUCUGCCCUCGGACGUGCGGCGGUCGCCGCUACGGUGCUCGUUCGGACCCUCACAGGACCGUGCGUGGCGGCAGCGGCGGCUCUGCUCGCGCCCGGCACCGCUGCGGGAACGGCGGCACCUCCUGAGCGGAACGGCCGCGCCGCUGACACCGCCCCGGAGCCGCUCCGGAGCGAACUGCGCGCAGCGUCCGGGAAAGAAGGCUUCAGGAGCUGAGACUGCGACCGAAAAUAAUAAUGGAAGCAGGUUGGAAGGAAUCUUUUCCUGCAUCUUGUGUCAUGCCUCUGCUCAACGAUGAGUCAUUACAGAGUUGCAGUGCCAAAGGCUAUCUGUCCUCCCAGGAGUUCAACCUGAAAUUCCUAGCUGGAAAUGUUGUCGUCUUGUGUCCUUUGUCAGUAGUACUGAAGAUUUAAUUGUUGCGCAUCAAGAAACAAGUUCUAUCUCUUGUCCCAUGAGAUGCACUCUUAAUUAUGGCAAGCCCGGAGCAUGGCUGGCCCAGGUGGGUGUCUCCAGCAGGUUUCUGCCUCCUGGGUCAGAAAGUGGUCCCAGAUGUCUCCUGUCCCUUAUGCUUCCCACUGCUCCUCAACAGGCAAAGUCAGCACGUGCUGCCUAUGCUGAUGGAACGGCCAGGUAAGACUCCUUACUGCAUCACAGCCAGCUUUAUGACUGCAAUCUAGACAUAAUCUCAUUAAUUAUUAGAUGUCUGACAUCAAAUGUUACAGAAAUAAGAAUCUAGAAGACUUAUAAGUGUAAUCAUGCUCUAAAAUCACUUAAGAUGAGGGCGAGGGUCUAUCUGAAUGUUGAGCUUUAAGCUCUGAU